Molecule: long non-coding RNA, 777 nt
Filed under: Homo sapiens (human)
Lineage: Eukaryota; Metazoa; Chordata; Mammalia; Primates; Hominidae
Description: HSALNT0067839
Source: RNAcentral
CAUGGACCCAGCCGGCCCGAGCGCGCCCCGCCGCUGACCGCCCGCGCCCCGGGAAGGAAGAACACUCGCUCCCGGCCAUACUUGCGUGUGAGUUCUGACCCCUGGAGGAGCCACUGUGGAAGCAGAGCAAUCGCCAUGGAGUUUGUGAUGAAGCAGGCUCUAGGAGGUAGGAAGCGGGAGCCCCUGUUUCUCCUCCAUUCAUGUUUAAUUUGCAUCACAAUUUGUUGAAUCUCAGGUAAAUGAGGUCUUUGCAUUUAAUGAGUUUUAUCUUGACAGGCGCCGCCUCGCCCCCGGGCCCUUUCGUCCACAUCAAAAAUGCAUCAAGUCUCCACGUGUUUCGGGCCAGGGCGUGGCUUGGCAUUGACCUUCAUGACCUUACAUAGCUUUAGAGAAGCCAUAACGUUAGACUGCAAUACUAACGACCGACGCCCCUCCGGGCAGAGACCACCGCGCCCCUCUGCGCCCCAGCGACGCGGCCCGCGGGGACGUCGCUGUCCGUCCUGCUCGCCCUGUGCCCUCUCACUGACUUCUCCCGGGUCGUGUCUUUUAAAAACUCCUGUUUUCACACCUUACAAAGCCAGCUCUGAGCAGACAGGGCGUCCUCUCGUAGAACCUGCGCACCCCGUUCCCAGCGCAUGGCGCCCCGGGCCGCGAGCUUAGCUUAGACCGUGGUGUCCUCUGUCCGUCUGUCCUGCGCCUGCGCCUCCUCCUGCAUGUCGGGGCCCCUGCGUGUGUUCUCUCCGGAUGGAAUCACAGCCAAUAAACACCAGUGAUUUC